Molecule: long non-coding RNA, 1596 nt
Organism: Magnolia sinica
Lineage: Eukaryota; Viridiplantae; Streptophyta; Magnoliopsida; Magnoliales; Magnoliaceae
Exons: 6
Source: RefSeq, a predicted model, not a curated record
AUCAAGUCGGAUUACACUGUCUUCCGUCAAACAGUAUUUUAUUGUGAUUGGGUUAGAGUGGAAGACAAGACCAAUGGUUGCAUUGUUGAUCCCGAGUCAAAUUUGGUAUUGGUAAACAUGGAGAAAUUGAAAGUACAUGAGAAGGAAGGAGAUGAACGAUUCAUACUUGCAUCCCAAUUAAGUCAAGUCAUCUACUCCAAGGAUCAAAAAAGGCCUGGAUGGUAUGUUAUAUGUUAUUUUAAUGACACCAAAAAGAUUGACGAAAGAUGUGGACACACUAGAAGAUCCGAUUAUGUUUUCCUCUUCUAGGGGCGAGAAUGCAAAUUUAGAAUAUAUUCUAAAGGAAAUUGACUAUGAGUUGUAGACAAUUUUUUUUGUUAUCAUACUCUAUGUUAAUUCAUUUGCCAUUUUAUAUGAUGUAAAAAAAUAUCUUGAUAAAUGAAUUUCUAUUUGCAUGAUGAUUUCUUCUUAUAUAAUUUUAUGUCCACAAACACGCUUAGACGUGUCAAUAGUAGAGGAAAACAUGUCAACUUCACAAGCAUACAUAUCAAAAAAUGCAGGAACUUCUUCGUCAUCAAAAAAUAAACUUGUGAUCAACUUAAAUGCAUUUGGUCGACCUGUGGGCGAACACUUGCAUAGGUUGGCUAUAAGAAGUGGAGAUCUGGUUCGCACCCAUGUCUCUAUUGCCAUAAAGGAUUGACGUGCAAUGCCAAAGAGUAAAAAAGAAGAACUUUGGAAGCUCUUACAGGACGAGUUUGUUAUUCCUCAGUCUUACAAGGAUAAAUGCUUUAAAAGCAUGUCUGAUAUGUUUAGGAAGUACAAGAUCAAAUUGAGGACAGAGUACCUCGAUCCCCAUACAAAUCAUGAUGAUAAAUUAAACAACCGUCCACCAAAAGUUAGGCCUGAAGAUUGGGAAUCGUUCAUUCAACAUAAUUCAGAUCCCAAAACUGUAAAACAAAGGAAAAAAAAUGCUUAGAAUAGGAAGAAUCCGAAAAUUUAUCAUACGAGUGGCAGGCAUGGCUACGCGAGAAUCGAGAAAGAAAUGAAACGCCAAAAGAAAGAUGGCGGCACCCCGAUUAGGACUGAAGUGUGGAUCAAAGCCCAUAUGAGAAAUGAUGGUUCUAUUCAAAAUAACGUGUCUUCACAUGUGGACGAAGUCAAAGAAUUACUUUCUAGCCAAGAAAGUAAUUCUCACGACAUCCUCAACGAUCCAUUGACUCAAGUAUUUGGUCCUGAUACAAGGGGUCAUGUUUGAGGUGUUGGGACCACCGUUUCCCGAACACAUAUUAGGGGGUCCGCUGCAACUCUUGAAAAUAUGUCUUCGUAUAAAGGGAUAAUAGAUGAGCAAUCGUUCACAAUUCAAAAGCUAUCGUCCAAAAUAGAUUUUCUUACGCGCGAAAUUGGGGGUAUCAAAGAGAUGAUAUAGCAGCAACGCAUGGCUUCAGGCUUCAAAGCAAACACAUCGGUUCAAUCGGAGAAUCCACAAUUGACUGGUGGACCUUCAGUUGGGAAUCGUCAAUGCGUAGAGAGAAUGCGGCCAUGCCAGUUGUACAAUUGGCGUAGCGAGCUCGUUUCUCAAGGGAGACUUGUUUUGGU